RNAcentral lists this ribosomal RNA (252 nucleotides) under uncultured bacterium. RNAcentral describes it as "partial 16S ribosomal RNA". It matches the Rfam family "Bacterial small subunit ribosomal RNA", at positions 524 to 776 of the family's 1533-position model. The record is from RNAcentral.
UACGUAGGGGGCAAGCGUUAUCCGGAUUUAUUGGGCGUAAAGCGAGCGCAGGUGGUUUAUUAAGUCUGGUGUAAAAGGCAGUGGCUCAACCAUUGUAUGCAUUGGAAACUGGUAGACUUGAGUGCAGGAGAGGAGAGUGGAAUUCCAUGUGUAGCGGUGAAAUGCGUAGAUAUAUGGAGGAACACCGGUGGCGAAAGCGGCUCUCUGGCCUGUAACUGACACUGAGGCUCGAAAGCGUGGGGAGCAAACAGG